CCCUACGGGGCGCAGCAGUGGGGAAUAUUGCACAAUGGGGGGAACCCUGAUGCAGCGACGCCGCGUGAGUGAAGAAGUAUUUCGGUAUGUAAAGCUCUAUCAGCAGGGAAGAAAAUGACGGUACCUGACUAAGAAGCCCCGGCUAACUACGUGCCAGCAGCCGCGGUAAUACGUAGGGGGCAAGCGUUAUCCGGAUUUACUGGGUGUAAAGGGAGCGUAGGUGGCAGGGCAAGUCAGAUGUGAAAACCCGGGGCUCAACCCCGGGAGUGCAUUUGAAACUGUCCGGCUGGAGUGCAGGAGAGGUA
Molecule: ribosomal RNA, 305 nt
Filed under: uncultured bacterium
Lineage: Bacteria
Description: bacterial SSU rRNA
Rfam family: Bacterial small subunit ribosomal RNA
Source: RNAcentral